CCUGUGGCUGGGGGUGAAAGGCCAAUCAAACCGGGAGAUAGCUGGUUCUCCCCGAAAGCUAUUUAGGUAGCGCCUCGUGAAUUCAUCUCCGGGGGUAGAGCACUGUUUCGGCUAGGGGGCCAUCCCGGCUUACCAACCCGAUGCAAACUGCGAAUACCGGAGAAUGUUAUCACGGGAGACACACGGCGGGUGCUAACGUCCGUCGUGAAGAGGGAAACAACCCAGACCGCCAGCUAAGGUCCCAAAGUCAUGGUUAAGUGGGAAACGAUGUGGGAAGGCCCAGACAGCCAGGAUGUUGGCUUAGAAGCAGCCAUCAUUUAAAGAAAGCGUAAUAGCUCACUGGUCGAGUCGGCCUGCGCGGAAGAUGUAACGGGGCUAAACCAUGCACCGAAGCUGCGGCAGCGACACUCAGGUGUUGUUGGGUAGGGGAGCGUUCUGUAAGCCUGCGAAGGUGGCCUGUGAGGGUUGCUGGAGGUAUCAGAAGUGCGAAUGCUGACAUAAGUAACGAUAAAGCGGGUGAAAAGCCCGCUCGCCGGAAGACCAAGGGUUCCUGUCCAACGUUAAUCGGGGCAGGGUGAGUCGACCCCUAAGGCGAGGCCGAAAGGCGUAGUCGAUGGGAAACGGGUUAAUAUUCCCGUACUUGGUGUUACUGCGAAGGGGGGACGGAGAAGGCUAUGUUGGCCGGGCGACGGUU
Molecule: ribosomal RNA, 694 nt
Filed under: Salmonella enterica
Lineage: Bacteria; Pseudomonadati; Pseudomonadota; Gammaproteobacteria; Enterobacterales; Enterobacteriaceae
Description: partial 23S ribosomal RNA
Rfam family: Bacterial large subunit ribosomal RNA
Source: RNAcentral